Molecule: non-coding RNA, 1017 nt
Organism: Penaeus vannamei (Pacific white shrimp)
Lineage: Eukaryota; Metazoa; Arthropoda; Malacostraca; Decapoda; Penaeidae
Source: RefSeq, a predicted model, not a curated record
UCUCAGGAUCCAGUCGCGGUUCGUUCUUCGUCCGGGUCGUGUCUGGGUCUCGCUCCUGUGUCGUUGUGAUUAUUUGUGGUUCAUUGCUGGGUUAUUGUCGUUGAUCGUAGCUCUGCGAAGAUCUUCUGUUAAAAGGGAGUUACGCCAAAGGUGGGAGGAAGCAGUACCGACGCAUACCGGCGUGGCACUCUGUCACGUAUGGUAGCACUCGCGAAAAACCGCGGCUCUCACCCUCCCUCAAGCCGGCGUUUCCGCUUCCCUUGAGUCCACCGGCGGCACAAAGCCCUCGACGCUUCCCAGAACACCGGCGAGAUGCCCGGAAACUUCGUCUUCACGCAGGACAAUCCCGAUAACCUGAACUGCGCAGGGGAACCCGAUGUCCUGGAACCGCACAUGCGCGACACAAUCAAGGAGAAUGACAUCCUUAUCUGGAUCUAUAACAUGAUCGACGAAGCAGCCAGAGUGGACUUCGAAUUCUUCCUAAAAGACGGAUGUAUUUUGUGCAAGCUGAUGAACCGCAUAAAACCGGGUAGCAUUCCGGAGGACAGCAUCACGUGGGAGGGCGCUCGGAGCAAACAGCAGAACAUCAAGAACUUCCUCGAAAAUGCGGAAGCGUACGGCGUGCCCAAGGAGAAGCUCUUCCACCCUGAGGAUCUGCUCCACUUGCGCAACGUCCCCCGGGUGACCAGGUGUAUCUACGCCCUGGCGAAGUGGUGGCGCAGGACCCCAACAUGGGCGCUGACUGCCCCAAGCUGGGAGACGAGCCGAGCUUCAUGAAGGAACAGAAGAAGAAGAUCGACGUGCCUGGACACAGAGACACGAAGGACGUCCUGGCUCAGCUGACGACCGCGAAACCCAAGGAGGAGAAGAAGACGACCAAGCACUCGCUGUAUAAAUGAGGGAGAGGGAGGUGGAGGAUGGAAGAAGAAUAGAGGGAGUGAAGGGAGAGAGAGGUGGAGGAUGGAAGAAGAAUAGAGGGGGUGAAGGGAGAGAGAGGUAAUGGGAAGAAAGAGUUAC